Molecule: transfer RNA, 69 nt
Filed under: Ictidomys tridecemlineatus (thirteen-lined ground squirrel)
Lineage: Eukaryota; Metazoa; Chordata; Mammalia; Rodentia; Sciuridae
Description: Spermophilus tridecemlineatus (thirteen-lined ground squirrel) tRNA
Rfam family: tRNA
About the family: Transfer RNA (tRNA) molecules are approximately 80 nucleotides in length. Their secondary structure includes four short double-helical elements and three loops (D, anti-codon, and T loops). Further hydrogen bonds mediate the characteristic L-shaped molecular structure. tRNAs have two regions of fundamental functional importance: the anti-codon, which is responsible for specific mRNA codon recognition, and the 3' end, to which the tRNAs corresponding amino acid is attached (by aminoacyl-tRNA synthetases). tRNAs cope with the degeneracy of the genetic code in two manners: having more than one tRNA (with a specific anti-codon) for a particular amino acid; and 'wobble' base-pairing, i.e. permitting non-standard base-pairing at the 3rd anti-codon position.
Source: Rfam by way of RNAcentral
GGGGCUGGGGCUCAGUGGUAGAGCACUUGCCUUGCAUGUAUGAGGCCCUAGGUUCAAUCCUUAGCACCA